This 465-nucleotide ribosomal RNA is filed under the name uncultured bacterium. Its description in RNAcentral is "partial 16S ribosomal RNA". It matches the Rfam family "Bacterial small subunit ribosomal RNA", at positions 338 to 795 of the family's 1533-position model. The record is from RNAcentral.
CCUACGGGAGGCAGCAGUAGGGAAUCUUCGGCAAUGGGGGCAACCCUGACCGAGCAACGCCGCGUGAGUGAAGAAGGUUCUCGGAUCGUAAAGCUCUGUUGUAAGAGAAGAACGUGUGUGAGAGUGGAAAGUUCACGCAGUGACGGUAACUUACAAGAUAGGGACGGCUAACUACGUGCCAGCAGCCGCGGUAAUACGUAGGUCCCGUGCGUUAUCCGGAUUUAUUGGGCGUAAAGCGAGCGCAGGCGGUUGGAUAAGUCUGAAGUUAAAGGCUGUGGCGCAACCAUAGCAUGCUUUGGAAACUGGUCAACUUGAGUGCAGGAGGGGAGAGUGGAAUGCCAGGUGUAGCGGUGGAAUGCGUAGAUAGAGGGAGGAACACCGGUGGCGAAGGCGGCUCGCUGGUCUGUAACUGACGCUGAGGCUCGAAAGCGUGGGUAGCGAACAGGAUUAGAUACCCGAGUAGUC